Molecule: ribosomal RNA, 374 nt
Filed under: uncultured bacterium
Lineage: Bacteria
Description: bacterial SSU rRNA
Rfam family: Bacterial small subunit ribosomal RNA
Source: RNAcentral
UACGUAGGGUGCAAGCGUUAAUCGGAAUUACUGGGCGUAAAGCGUGCGCAGGCGGUUAUAUAAGACAGAUGUGAAAUCCCCGGGCUCAACCUGGGAACUGCAUUUGUGACUGUAUAGCUAGAGUACGGUAGAGGGGGAUGGAAUUCCGCGUGUAGCAGUGAAAUGCGUAGAUAUGCGGAGGAACACCGAUGGCGAAGGCAAUCCCCUGGACCUGUACUGACGCUCAUGCACGAAAGCGUGGGGAGCAAACAGGAUUAGAUACCCUGGUAGUCCACGCCCUAAACGAUGUCAACUGGUUGUUGGGUCUUCACUGACUCAGUAACGAAGCUAACGCGUGAAGUUGACCGCCUGGGGAGUACGGCCGCAAGGUUGAA